This 816-nucleotide ribosomal RNA is filed under the name uncultured eukaryote. RNAcentral's name for it is "SSU rRNA". It matches the Rfam family "Eukaryotic small subunit ribosomal RNA", at positions 627 to 1469 of the family's 1831-position model. The record is from RNAcentral.
CUCGUAGUUGAAUUUCGGGUAUUUGUUGCUAGCUGGUUUUUAUGGCCAUGUUGGUUAACAGAUCCUCAUUUGCUGGACGGCUAGCGAUGAUCUUUAUCGGUUGUCGUUAGUUGCCAGCACGUUUACUUUGAGAAAAUUAGAGUGCUAAAAGCAGGCUCACGCCUAUAUAUAUUGCAUGGAAUAAUGAAAUAAGAUCUCGAUUUUAUUUCGUUGGUUUUAGAAAUUGAGAUAAUGAUUAAUAGGAUCAGAGGGGGGCGUACGUACUGUGGUGUGAGAGGUGAAAUUCUUGGAUCGCCACAGGACGAACAGCAGCGAAGGCGUUCGCCAAGAAUGUUUUCAUUAAUCAAGAACGAAAGUUUGAGGUUCGAAGACGAUUAGAUACCGUCCUAGUUCAAACCAUAAACGUUGCCAACUGUCUUUUAGAUGCGGUUAUUUAUAUGACUCAUCUGGCGGAUCUCGAGAAAUCUAAGUUUUUAGGUUCCGGGGGAAGUAUGGUUGCAAAGCUGAAACUUAAAAGAAUUGACGGAAGGACACACAAGAAGUGGAGCCUGUGGCCUAAUUUGACUCAACACGGGAAACCUUACUCGGCCAGGACACUUUUAGGAUUGACAGAUUGAGAGCUCUUUCUUGAUUAGGUGGGUGGUGGUGCAUGGCCGUUCGUAGUUCGUGGAGCGAUUUGUCUGAUUAAUUUCGAUAACGAACGAGACUCCGGCUUACUAAAUAGUCUAAAGUUCGAAGGGACUUUUCAAGACUUCUUAGCAGGAUAAGUGGCACUUUUUAAGCCACACGAAAUGGAGCAAUAACAGGUCUGUGAUG